CCUACGGGUGGCAGCAGUGGGGAAUGUUGCGCAAUGGGGGAAACCCUGACGCAGCAACGCCGCGUGCGGGACGAAGGCCCUCGGGCUGUAAACCGCUUUCAGCAGGGAAGACAUCGACGGUACCUGCAGAAGAAGCUCCGGCUAACUACGUGCCAGCAGCCGCGGUAAUACGUAGGGGGCGAGCGUUAUCCGGAUUUACUGGGUGUAAAGGGCGUGUAGGCGGGAAAGCAAGUCAGAUGUGAAAACCAUGGGCUCAACCUGUGGCCUGCAUUUGAAACUGUUUUUCUUGAGUACUGGAGAGGCAGACGGAAUUCCUAGUGUAGCGGUGAAAUGCGUAGAUAUUAGGAGGAACACCAGUGGCGAAGGCGGUCUGCUGGACAGCAACUGACGCUGAGGCGCGAAAGCGUGGGGAGCAAACAGGAUUAGAUACCCUUGUAGUC
Molecule: ribosomal RNA, 440 nt
Filed under: uncultured bacterium
Lineage: Bacteria
Description: partial 16S ribosomal RNA
Rfam family: Bacterial small subunit ribosomal RNA
Source: RNAcentral